UCCUCCUUACAGAGGCAGUUUGUUUCGAGUUCCCGGCUUUAACCGCUGGCAACAAAACAUGAGGGUUGCGCUCGUUGCGGGACUUAACCCAACAUUUCACAACACGAGCUGACGACAGCCAUGCACCACCUGUGUACCACCCUCGAAGGCGACCGCUUUUCGGCGGCUUGCAGGUACAUGUCAAGCCCUGGUAAGGUUCUUCGCGUUGCAUCGAAUUAAGCCACAUGCUCCACCGCUUGUGCGGGCCCCCGCCAAUUCCUUUGAGUUUCAACCUUGCGGCCGUAGUCCCCAGGCGGUUCACUUAAUGCGUUAGCUGCGGCACUGAAAGAUAACUCCCAACACCUAGUGAACAUAGUUUAGGGCCAAGACUAC
Molecule: unclassified non-coding RNA, 372 nt
Filed under: uncultured bacterium
Lineage: Bacteria
Description: contains 16S-23S intergenic spacer region
Source: RNAcentral